This 2927-nucleotide ribosomal RNA is filed under the name Klebsiella grimontii. Its description in RNAcentral is "23S ribosomal RNA". It matches the Rfam family "Bacterial large subunit ribosomal RNA". The record is from RNAcentral. Lineage: Bacteria; Pseudomonadati; Pseudomonadota; Gammaproteobacteria; Enterobacterales; Enterobacteriaceae.
GGGUUGUGAGGUUAAGCGACUAAGCGUACACGGUGGAUGCCCUGGCAGUCAGAGGCGAUGAAGGACGUGCUAAUCUGCGAAAAGCGUCGGUAAGGUGAUAUGAACCGUUAUAGCCGGCGAUGUCCGAAUGGGGAAACCCAGUGCAAUUCGUUGCACUAUCGUUUGAUGAAUACAUAGUCAAACGAGGCGAACCGGGGGAACUGAAACAUCUAAGUACCCCGAGGAAAAGAAAUCAACCGAGAUUCCCCCAGUAGCGGCGAGCGAACGGGGAGCAGCCCGGAGUCUGAAUCAGCUUGUGUGUUAGUGGAAGCGUCUGGAAAGUCGCAGGGUACAGGGUGAUACUCCCGUACACUAAAACACACAGGCUGUGAACUCGAAGAGUAGGGCGGGACACGUGGUAUCCUGUCUGAAUAUGGGGGGACCAUCCUCCAAGGCUAAAUACUCCUGACUGACCGAUAGUGAACCAGUACCGUGAGGGAAAGGCGAAAAGAACCCCGGCGAGGGGAGUGAAAAAGAACCUGAAACCGUGUACGUACAAGCAGUAGGAGCCUCUUUAUGGGGUGACUGCGUACCUUUUGUAUAAUGGGUCAGCGACUUAUAUUCUGUAGCAAGGUUAACCGUAUAGGGGAGCCGCAGGGAAACCGAGUCUUAACUGGGCGUUAAGUUGCAGGGUAUAGACCCGAAACCCGGUGAUCUAGCCAUGGGCAGGUUGAAGGUUGGGUAACACUAACUGGAGGACCGAACCGACUAAUGUUGAAAAAUUAGCGGAUGACUUGUGGCUGGGGGUGAAAGGCCAAUCAAACCGGGAGAUAGCUGGUUCUCCCCGAAAGCUAUUUAGGUAGCGCCUCGUGAACUCAUCUUCGGGGGUAGAGCACUGUUUCGGCUAGGGGGUCAUCCCGACUUACCAACCCGAUGCAAACUACGAAUACCGAAGAAUGUUAUCACGGGAGACACACGGCGGGUGCUAACGUCCGUCGUGAAGAGGGAAACAACCCAGACCGCCAGCUAAGGUCCCAAAGUCAUGGUUAAGUGGGAAACGAUGUGGGAAGGCCCAGACAGCCAGGAUGUUGGCUUAGAAGCAGCCAUCAUUUAAAGAAAGCGUAAUAGCUCACUGGUCGAGUCGGCCUGCGCGGAAGAUGUAACGGGGCUAAACCAUGCACCGAAGCUGCGGCAGCGACACUAUGUGUUGUUGGGUAGGGGAGCGUUCUGUAAGCCGUUGAAGGUGGCCUGUGAGGGUUGCUGGAGGUAUCAGAAGUGCGAAUGCUGACAUAAGUAACGAUAAUGCGGGUGAAAAACCCGCACGCCGGAAGACCAAGGGUUCCUGUCCAACGUUAAUCGGGGCAGGGUGAGUCGACCCCUAAGGCGAGGCCGAAAGGCGUAGUCGAUGGGAAACAGGUUAAUAUUCCUGUACUCGGUGUUACUGCGAAGGGGGGACGGAGAAGGCUAUGUUGGCCGGGCGACGGUUGUCCCGGUUUAAGCAUGUAGGCGGAUGUUCCAGGUAAAUCCGGAACGUUAUUAACGCUGAGGUGUGAUGACGAGGCACUACGGUGCUGAAGUGACAAAUGCCCUGCUUCCAGGAAAAGCCUCUAAGCAUCAGGUAACAUCAAAUCGUACCCCAAACCGACACAGGUGGUCAGGUAGAGAAUACCAAGGCGCUUGAGAGAACUCGGGUGAAGGAACUAGGCAAAAUGGUGCCGUAACUUCGGGAGAAGGCACGCUGAUGGUAAGUGAAGUGACUUGCUCAUGGAGCUGAAAUCAGUCGAAGAUACCAGCUGGCUGCAACUGUUUAUUAAAAACACAGCACUGUGCAAACACGAAAGUGGACGUAUACGGUGUGACGCCUGCCCGGUGCCGGAAGGUUAAUUGAUGGGGUUAUCCGUAAGGAGAAGCUCUUGAUCGAAGCCCCGGUAAACGGCGGCCGUAACUAUAACGGUCCUAAGGUAGCGAAAUUCCUUGUCGGGUAAGUUCCGACCUGCACGAAUGGCGUAAUGAUGGCCAGGCUGUCUCCACCCGAGACUCAGUGAAAUUGAACUCGCUGUGAAGAUGCAGUGUACCCGCGGCAAGACGGAAAGACCCCGUGAACCUUUACUAUAGCUUGACACUGAACACUGGUCCUUGAUGUGUAGGAUAGGUGGGAGGCUUUGAAGUGUGGACGCCAGUCUGCAUGGAGCCAUCCUUGAAAUACCACCCUUUAAUGGCUGGUGUUCUAACGUGGGCCCGUUAUCCGGGUUGCGGACAGUGUCUGGUGGGUAGUUUGACUGGGGCGGUCUCCUCCUAAAGAGUAACGGAGGAGCACGAAGGUCAGCUAAUCCUGGUCGGACAUCAGGAGGUUAGUGCAAUGGCAUAAGCUGGCUUGACUGCGAGCGUGACGGCGCGAGCAGGUGCGAAAGCAGGUCAUAGUGAUCCGGUGGUUCUGAAUGGAAGGGCCAUCGCUCAACGGAUAAAAGGUACUCCGGGGAUAACAGGCUGAUACCGCCCAAGAGUUCAUAUCGACGGCGGUGUUUGGCACCUCGAUGUCGGCUCAUCACAUCCUGGGGCUGAAGUAGGUCCCAAGGGUAUGGCUGUUCGCCAUUUAAAGUGGUACGCGAGCUGGGUUUAGAACGUCGUGAGACAGUUCGGUCCCUAUCUGCCGUGGGCGCUGGAGAAUUGAGGGGGGCUGCUCCUAGUACGAGAGGACCGGAGUGGACGCAUCACUGGUGUUCGGGUUGUCAUGCCAAUGGCAUUGCCCGGUAGCUAAAUGCGGAAGAGAUAAGUGCUGAAAGCAUCUAAGCACGAAACUUGCCCCGAGAUGAGUUCUCCCUGACUCCUUGAGAGUCCUGAAGGAACGUUGAAGACGACGACGUUGAUAGGCCGGGUGUGUAAGCGCAGCGAUGCGUUGAGCUAACCGGUACUAAUGAACCGUGAGGCUUAACCUUACAACGCCGAAG